AUGCAACUUCAGCUCCCUCCGGGAACAUCCUGCAGGUUUGCGUCCGAGAUGUCACGUCUGAGCAGGGAGGCUCUCUCCUCUGAGAUGUCACGUCUGAACAGGGAGGCUCUCUCCUCUCCGCUUCAUCGGCGGCACUGUCCCCGACAGCAUCAAGGAAGUGCUGGAACAGACCCCAAGUUUUGUUCACUCUCCCCAAAGGAUUCCAUGCACUUCAGGGAUCGGUUAAAGCCUCCGGGGAUUGGUUUAGGAUGGACAAAUGAACUAAUGCUCGCCAAUGAGACACAGAGGAAGGCUUUCAGAAGACUUCUGGAAAUGUUUUCUUCAGCUCUUAAAAUGGUGCGUGAGAGAGCAAGAGUACUUUUUUUCCUGCCUCUGCACAUUGUUGACUAUAUGUGAAGGCUGGAGCUGUGGCAGCCAUAUUGGCACCACGGGAACCAGACAAACCGGCAUGCUGUAGAUGGAAAGAAUCUGAGUCUUUGCUGAUACUGUUGAGUAGCUCAAUUAACCGAUCCUGCAGAUGUCUUUCUGCCGGAUUUCAUAACAGAUGAGAUCCUGAGUCCCUUUAUUGUUCAAGCUUUGAUGCAUUCUGCCAUGAGUAUUUGUACAUGACAUGCCACUGUGCUCGUUGCUGGCAAUGUUCUCCAGAUAUGGAGGGAAGGGUGAUGAGUACAUUUUGCUACCAUGCCACUGUCCAUAGUCCACCCAUGGUCUCCCCUUUCCCCUGGCUCUCCCUGCUGACUCCCUUUCUCUGGUUCCCGGUCCAGCCGUCAGACCCCGAGCACAAAGCACAGACAUCUGAUCACCUGAGCCUGACUCCUCUCCAAUGUCAAGUUGUGGGUUUCCUCAGAGCUUCAGAUGACCUGUCCCUCGCUCUCUGGGUCAGUCAGUGGACACAGAGGUGGGGUGGCACUGGUGGCUGUGCUGAAAAAACUGUACGAAUUUGAACCCAGCGCUGAGUAGGGAAAAGCUCAACGGUGAGGAAUUCUCGAGGAAAAAGAAAUCAGAGGCUAUCAGUGUCUGUGCCAACAAACCCUGCUUGAGAUGCAGGGACAGCAGUGUAAGGAAUGUGAAGAGGCAGGACACACACAAUCAUAAAAUUCAUUUGUUUUGUAGAAGAUACUAUUUCCUGAGCGCUUACCGCAUGAGGGGCAGCGCGCUACGUGAUUUGGAGAUGACAUCUCCUUUGCUCCUUACGACAUCCUGUGAUGUAGAUAUUUCAGUGUGUCUACUUCAGAGAGGAAAAUCAAGAUUAUCUAAGUCUCCAAGCUCUGUGCUGCUGGUUAGUGGCAGAGCCAGGAUUCAAUCCAACUUCAGCUGACUCAAGAGCCCAUGCACCACAAACUGCCGCAAUGGAUAGCUUCAUUCAUUCCUUUGUUCAUUUACCAGUUUGUUUGUU
Molecule: long non-coding RNA, 1396 nt
Filed under: Felis catus (domestic cat)
Lineage: Eukaryota; Metazoa; Chordata; Mammalia; Carnivora; Felidae
Description: lncRNA (ENSFCAG00000049304.1)
Source: RNAcentral